Molecule: long non-coding RNA, 299 nt
Organism: Choloepus didactylus (southern two-toed sloth)
Lineage: Eukaryota; Metazoa; Chordata; Mammalia; Pilosa; Megalonychidae
Exons: 3
Source: RefSeq, a predicted model, not a curated record
GUGAAGAUGAUGAUCAGAAUCCAAGAUAACAAGAACUGGAAGAAAUAAAGUCUUAUUUGCGUACAUCCCUGCGUCAAGCACUUGGCCAGAUGUUUUAGGAAUAUUAUUCCUAGACAUCACAGGAAAACAUUAUGUGACAUCUGGCUGACAGGAACUUGGAGAAAUGGGAUACGAAGUGAAUGCUGCAGUUACCACAAGCAUCAUAUUUAUCAAAAGGUUUAAGUAAGUUGGUGACUCCCAAGAAAGAGGCAUUCAGGAGAAGAGAGAUAAACCUCCUACAAUGAAAUUUUGGGCAUGAG